RNAcentral lists this long non-coding RNA (1020 nucleotides) under Homo sapiens (human). Its description in RNAcentral is "HSALNT0302470". The record is from RNAcentral. Lineage: Eukaryota; Metazoa; Chordata; Mammalia; Primates; Hominidae.
AUUGUUUUGUUUUGCCCUUCUAUUCCAUAGACAAGGAGAACUUUCACACAGAAAACUAACAAAGAAAUUCUGGACUUAAACUUGACACUUGCCCAGUUGGUCUUAAUAGACAUCUAAAGAAUACUCCACCCAACAACUACAGAAUAUAUAUUCGUCUCAUCUGCAGACACAACAUACUUUAAAAAUGACUGCAUGUUUGGUCAGAGAGUCUCAACAAAUUUGGAAAAAUUAAAAUUAUACCCAACAUAUUCUCAGGUCGAAUGAAAUGCAAAUAGAAAUUACUGCCAAGAGGAAUUCUCAAAACCACACAAAUACGUGGAAAUUAAACACAUUGAUCCUGAAUGACCUUUGUAAAGCAAGAAAAUUAAGGCAAAAAUCAAAAAAUUAUUUGAAAAAAACAAAAAUUGUGACACAGUGUAACAAAACCUGUGAUAUUGCAAAAGAAGUGAUAAGAUUUGUAGCACUAAAUGCCUACAUCAAGAAAAUAGAAAUAUCUUGUUAACAACCUAACAUUACACCUAAAGAAAUAGAGAAAGAAGAACUAAAUUCUAAAUGAAGAACCCAGUUCUAGCAGAAGAAAAGAAAGAAUUAAAAUCAGAACAGAACUAAGUGAAAUUGAGAUAAAGAAAACUAUUCAAAGGAUCAACAAAAUGAAAAGUUUGUUUUUUGAAAGGAUAAACAAAAUUGAUAGACUGCUAGAUAAACAAAGGAAAAAAAGAAGAUCCAAAUAAGCACAAUCAGAUAUGACAAAGGUAACAUUACAACUGAUCUCGCAGAAAUAUAAAAGAUCCUCAGAGAUUACUAUGAACAUCUCUAUGCACACAACUAGAAAAUCUAGAGGAAAUAGAUAAAUUCCUGGAAAUAUACAACCUCCCAAGAUUGAAUCUGGAAGAAAAAGACACCCUAAAGAGACCAGUAAUGAGUUACAAAAUUGAAUAAGUAAUAAUAAAAAACUUACUAACCAGAAAAGCACCGGACCAGAUGGAUUUACAGCCAAAUUAUACCAGAUGUACAAAGAAG